CAGCCUCUAGUGGUUUUAGGACAAACUGCAACCUUUGCUUCUUCCUGGUCUGUGCAAGGCGGUAACAUAAUGUGGCAGCUUGUUCAACCAUGAUAAAUUCUUUAGUGUUUGGGGCUUUCUCUGUGAAUUGAACUGUAAAGCUUCUGUUUGUUCUUUCAGGGAGGAAAGAGAAAAAGAAGAGAUCCAGACAGCCACAGGCAGGUGCUGCAUCUGACAGAGAUCAACCGCCUAAAAGAAGACGCAGCGCUUUGAAAGACCCGGACAAACAGGCCUCCAGUUCAGAGGAUCCAGACAAAAAGAGAAGGAAGAAGAGGGACGGAAAAGAAGCCCGGAAACGUGGGCAAGCUCGCCUUCAAGACGACCAAAGUUCAGAGAAACCCAAGCGACGGAGAAAAAGGAAACAGGAUGGAGAGAUGAUGACGUCCAAAGCAAAGAAGAGGCGGUCUUCCCCCUGUCCUGAUCCUGAGGUGAAGCUUUCAUCAGGGGUACCGCUGCAUCUGCAGUCGGGGAACACUAGUUGAGCUACAUUGGUUUGUCAGUUAUACUUCAGCUGAGGUCACC
Molecule: long non-coding RNA, 561 nt
Filed under: Oryzias javanicus (javanese ricefish)
Lineage: Eukaryota; Metazoa; Chordata; Actinopteri; Beloniformes; Adrianichthyidae
Description: lncRNA (ENSOJAG00000002250.1)
Source: RNAcentral